GACGAACGCUGGCGGCGUGCUUAACACAUGCAAGUCGAACGGAAAGGCCCUGCUUUUGUGGGGUGCUCGAGUGGCGAACGGGUGAGUAACACGUGAGUAACCUGCCCUUGACUUUGGGAUAACUUCAGGAAACUGGGGCUAAUACCGGAUAGGAGCUCCUGCUGCAUGGUGGGGGUUGGAAAGUUUCGGCGGUUGGGGAUGGACUCGCGGCUUAUCAGCUUGUUGGUGGGGUAGUGGCUUACCAAGGCUUUGACGGGUAGCCGGCCUGAGAGGGUGACCGGCCGCAUUAGGACUGAGAUACGGCGCAGACUCCUACGGGAGGCAGCAGUGGAGAAUAUUGCACAGUGGGCGGAAGCCUGAUGCAGCAACGCCGCGUGCGGGAUGACGGCCUUCGGGGUGUAAACCGCUGUCGACUGUGACGAAGCGUGAGUGACGGUAAUGGGUAAAGAAGCACCGGCUAACUACGUG
This 468-nucleotide ribosomal RNA is filed under the name uncultured bacterium. Its description in RNAcentral is "partial 16S ribosomal RNA". It matches the Rfam family "Bacterial small subunit ribosomal RNA", at positions 28 to 507 of the family's 1533-position model. The record is from RNAcentral.